UUUUUUUUUCAGAAAUCACGCUAAAGUGCGAUGGUAUGACACGCUAAAGUCCGAUGGUGUAACGGGAAUGGGGUUCAGGCAAUGGUUUUCGUUUGUUGCUGAGUUCCUAUCACAUUUUCGUAUAUUGUUUUGAUUAUGUGUCAAGCCGUAGUCUUUAUCUUUUGAAUUGUUUUACACUGGUUAUUGUAUAACCCUAUAUAGCUUGUAGCGGCAUGGACCAAUGCUUUACGUUGACGGCCGUAUGAUUAUUAGCCGCAUACAUGAACGGCAUUUGGGAUUGAAUGGAUAGUUUUUU
RNAcentral lists this long non-coding RNA (295 nucleotides) under Mytilus galloprovincialis (Mediterranean mussel). The record is from RNAcentral. Lineage: Eukaryota; Metazoa; Mollusca; Bivalvia; Mytilida; Mytilidae.